Molecule: ribosomal RNA, 408 nt
Filed under: uncultured bacterium
Lineage: Bacteria
Description: partial 16S ribosomal RNA
Rfam family: Bacterial small subunit ribosomal RNA
Source: RNAcentral
GACGAACGCUGGCGGCGUGCCUAAUACAUGCAAGUCGACCUUAGUGGCGAACGGGGGAGUAACACGUGGGUAACCUGCCCAUCAGAAGGGGAUAACACUUGGCAACAGGUGCUAAUACCGGAUACUGAUGGAUCGACCCGCUGUGCAUUAGCUAGUUGGUGGGGUAACGGCUCACCAAGGCCACGAUGCAUAGCCGGCCUGAGAGGGUGAUCGGCCACAUUGGGACUGAGACACGGCCCAGACUCCUACGGGAGGCAGCAGUAGGGAAUCUUCGGCAAUGGACGAAAGUCUGACCGAGCAACGCCGCGUGAGUGAAGAAGGUUUUCGGAUCGUAAAACUCUGUUGUUAGAGAAGCGGUAUCUAACCAGAAAGCCACGGCUAACUACGUGCCAGCAGCCGCGGUAAUUC